GACGAACGCUGGCGGCGUGCUUAACACAUGCAAGUCGAACGGAAAGGCCCUGCUUUUGUGGGGUGCUCGAGUGGCGAACGGGUGAGUAACACGUGAGUAACCUGCCCUUGACUUUGGGAUAACUUCAGGAAACUGGGGCUAAUACCGGAUAGGAUCUCCUGCUGCAUGGUGGGGGUUGGAAAGUUUCGGCGGUUGGGGAUGGACUCGCGGCUUAUCAGCUUGUUGGUGGGGUAGUGGCUUACCAAGGCUUUGACGGGUAGCCGGCCUGAGAGGGUGACCGGCCACAUUGGGACUGAGAUACGGCACAGACUACUACGGGAGGCAGCAGUGGAGAAUAUUGCACAGUGGGCGGAAGCCUGGUGCAGCACAGCCGCGUGCGGGAUGACGGCCUUCGGGUUGUAAACCGCUUUCGCCUGUGACGAGGCGUGAGUGACGGUAAUGGGUAAAGAAGCACCGGCUAACUACGUG
This 468-nucleotide ribosomal RNA is filed under the name uncultured bacterium. Its description in RNAcentral is "partial 16S ribosomal RNA". It matches the Rfam family "Bacterial small subunit ribosomal RNA", at positions 28 to 507 of the family's 1533-position model. The record is from RNAcentral.